UACAGAGGUCUCAAGCGUUGUUCGGAUUCAUUGGGCGUAAAGGGCGCGUAGGCGGCGGGGUAAGUCGGGUGUGAAAUCUCAGAGCUCAACUCUGAAAUGGCACUUGAUACUGCUCUGCUAGAGGACUGGAGAGGAGAUUGGAAUUCACGGUGUAGCAGUGAAAUGCGUAGAUAUCGUGAGGAAGACCGGUGGCGAAGGCGGAUCUCUGGACAGUUCCUGACGCUGAGGCACGAAGGUCAGGGGAGCAAACGGG
RNAcentral lists this ribosomal RNA (253 nucleotides) under uncultured bacterium. Its description in RNAcentral is "partial 16S ribosomal RNA". It matches the Rfam family "Bacterial small subunit ribosomal RNA", at positions 524 to 776 of the family's 1533-position model. The record is from RNAcentral.